AUUUCUCUGGCAAAGAAAUCUUUAACUUACAGGCAAUAUCCAUGCCAUAUUAUGUCAUUAGUAGAAAUGUCAGUAAGUUUAAAAGGAGCAUAGCAAAAGGCAAUCUGACUAGAACAGGGAGAUCAGAGGAAUGCCUCUGUCAGGUAGACUACCUAUUAUUAAUGGUAAUAUCAUAUAUUAACAGCAGUAUAGUACUAAUAAAUUUUUAUUUAUUAAUAGAUAUCUUCCCUAAUUGAAAUUCAGCAGAAGACGACCAGAAUUAUAAGGCAAAAAAAGGUAUUGUAAUAAAAUAAGGAAAUGCUGUGGUGUGUAGGCWUUUGUAUAAUACUUAACUGACUGUUGGAUGAAGCCAAGUCAGUUGUUAUUCAUUUAUGCUUGAGGAUCAAAGUGCAAAGAAGCUCURGGCUGGUAAGGAACCACAACCUGCCUAGGAAAAUGUAUUCCCUCUAAUAAGGGCACCUGCUUUGUGUUUGAAUUCUUUUGAGUCUGUUCUCCAUGAAUAUCCAUGCUAACAAAUAUAUUUAUCCUAGGUAGUCUGGAUGCAUUUCUGUGCAAACCAGUGCUGAUGUCAUUUCAUUAAAAUGUCCUGAGGUCCCACCACUUGAAGGUCUGCUAAUUGUGAAACUGUGAGAACUACAAAGAAAUGAGUUAAACAGAACAGAGUGUGAAGAGUUUUCACACCUCCAUGCUUAUAAAUAAGCUGAGCCACACAAAGGUCUGGGGAAGAGUUAGAAAUUUCCUUUCUGAGGUGAGGUUUUACUUCAGUAACAUCUGCUGGCUGCCAUACAGUAGCAGAUCAGGCCUGAGUCUGUCAGCCCUUGAAAUCAUCUCAUCCUGGAGGCACUAAAUGACCAGAGUGCUCCUGCGGAUCAACUCAGGRCAACGAGUGGUGCUGGCAAUGAGAGACCUGCUUCCUUGGGGACUCUGCUCCAGCUGGGGAGACAACAUGGGCCCUACCCAGGGCUGCUGGACCCUCUGCUCCAUCCUGCUACUUCGUCUCUCCCAGGCUGUUCUCAUCAAAAUCCCUCAGGAUUUGGUCAAUGGCACUGUUGGCCAGUCCGUGCUCCUGCCCGUCUCCUACAAACUCAGCAGCUYCUCUCACUUCCCACUGCCAUUUCACUGGACAUUCAGUAACCGCUCUGAGCGAAUUGUCACCUGCACGGUGCUGAACUGCUCCCUGAGUGCUGAGGGGACUCCCAAGCACUGCUCUGCAAAACAUUUCCCACACGCCGCAUACCAAGGUCGUGUUGUGCUUUUCCCUGAGAACGCAUCCCUGCUGCUCCGGGACCUGCAGCUCAGGGACAGCGGGGUCUACAGCGUCACCUUCAAACAGCAGAUCCAAACCAGGCGCAUCACCUUAACUGUGUACAGUGAGGCACGUGCUGACACUGAUGCCAGAGGAGGGAGAUCUGGACAGAAAAUCCUUGUUAUUAUUGCUGGAUGCUUCUGUCUGAUCUUGCUGCUUCUGCUGCUGUUCUGCUACGCAUGGCACAGGGGGGCAGUUCUUCAGCUAAUGAGAUGUAUGAAUCAACAGGUCCAAAGUCCUAGUGAGCCCUGGGGAAAAUGGUCGGACACAGAGCUGGAAAGGAUUUACGCAAAUGUCAUCUACUUGGGAAGAGGUAGCUAAAAAACAGUAUUUAGCAAAUGGUAGCCCAAAGGCAAUGUACAAGCGUGGCUAAUAAAGCCGUGGGAGUUGUUCCA
Molecule: long non-coding RNA, 1701 nt
Organism: Dromaius novaehollandiae (emu)
Lineage: Eukaryota; Metazoa; Chordata; Aves; Casuariiformes; Dromaiidae
Source: Ensembl